UACGUAGGGGGCCAGCGUUGCUCGGAAUUACUGGGCGUAAAGGGUUCGUAGGUGGUGCGGCAAGUUGGAAGUGAAAUCUCUGGGCUUACCCCAGAGGCUGCUUUCAAAACUGCCGUGCUCGAGUGCGGGAGAGGCCAGUGGAAUUGCAGGUGUAGCGGUGAAAUGCGUAGAUAUGUGGAAGAACAUCGGUGGCGAAGGCGGUUUUCUAGCUUAUUCCUGACGCUGAGGCGCGAAAGCAAGGGGAGCAAACAGG
Molecule: ribosomal RNA, 253 nt
Filed under: uncultured bacterium
Lineage: Bacteria
Description: partial 16S ribosomal RNA
Rfam family: Bacterial small subunit ribosomal RNA
Source: RNAcentral